ACUCAAAUGAAUUGACGGGGGCUCACACAAGCGGUGGAGCAUGUGGCUCAAUUCGAAGCAACGCGAAGAACCUUAUCCAAGGCUUGACAUGCACGGAUUAACCCCUGGAAACAGGGGCCACGCUCGCAAGAGUGGAACGUGCACAGGUGCUGCAUGGCUGUCGUCAGCUCGUGCUGUGAAGUGUCGGGUUAAGUCCCUUAACGAGCGAAACCCCUAUCGUUAGUUGCUACGGCGCAAGCCAGGACUCUAACGAGACUGCCGGUGUCAAACCGGAGGAAGGUGGGGAUGACGUCAAGUCCUCAUGGCCUUUAUGCCUUGGGCUGCACACGUGCUACAAUGGCGUGCACAAAGCGACGCGAUACCGCAAGGUGGAGCAAAUCGCAUAAAACACGCCCCAGUUCAGAUUGGAGUCUGCAACCCGACUCCAUGAAGUUGGAAUCGCUAGUAAUCGGGGAUCAGCUACGCCCCGGUGAAUGUGUUCCUGAGCCUUGUACACACCGCCCGU
This 505-nucleotide ribosomal RNA is filed under the name uncultured bacterium. RNAcentral describes it as "partial 16S ribosomal RNA". It matches the Rfam family "Bacterial small subunit ribosomal RNA", at positions 899 to 1397 of the family's 1533-position model. The record is from RNAcentral.